AGCAAGAAAGAAAAGAAGAAGAAGAAGAACAUACAACCUCUGUCCUCUCUCCCUAUCCCAACGCGUAACGCGCGCGCGAAGGGUUUAAGUUCGGCUAGGGUUUUGGGGAUCAGGGUUUUAUGGUUUUGCGAAACCCUAAGGAGAUGAUCGGGAAGCCAUGCGUGCGUGGGCUCAUCCUUCUUCAGUUGCAGCAAGAUUAAGAAUUUCCCCUUCGAUCGAUCGCCUUUCAUCCAUAAGUAUUGCCUUCUUCAUUCCUUUCUCAGUCAAUCCUUUCCCUCCGCCGCUUUCUUCGAGGUUCGGUUUCUCUGCG
This 310-nucleotide long non-coding RNA is filed under the name Phoenix dactylifera (date palm). RNAcentral's name for it is "long non-coding RNA (PDAC_LNC000642)". The record is from RNAcentral. Lineage: Eukaryota; Viridiplantae; Streptophyta; Magnoliopsida; Arecales; Arecaceae.